This 509-nucleotide ribosomal RNA is filed under the name Cornudiscoides sp. n. 1D JV-2019. Its description in RNAcentral is "partial large subunit ribosomal RNA". It matches the Rfam family "Eukaryotic large subunit ribosomal RNA", at positions 142 to 623 of the family's 3401-position model. The record is from RNAcentral. Lineage: Eukaryota; Metazoa; Platyhelminthes; Monogenea; Dactylogyridea; Ancylodiscoididae.
CAUGUGGUGUUAAACCUGAACCUGGGGAUGCUUGUCUACUCGAAGUCCAACUCCGAAUAUGGCUUGGAUUUGUUCUAGAGAGGGUGAAAGCCCCGUACGGGUAGACUUUUCGUCUUUUUAGCAUGCCUUAGAUGUUCAUGUUUUGGAGUCGGAUUGCUUGAGAAUGCAGUCCAAAGUGGGUGGUAAACUCCAUCCAAGGCUAAAUACCUGCACGAAUCCGAUAGUAGACAAGUACCGCGAGGGAAAGUUGAAAAGUACUCUGAAGAGAGAGUAAAUAGUACGUGAAGCCGUUUGCAUGGAAGCUGGUGGAGUCAAGCUUCUCGUUUCAAGAAUUGACAUGGAGGAUUUUGUUUGUGGACAGACCUUUCAUUGACAUGAAAACGACCAGAUGGUUCGCCGUCUCAUCUAUUCUUGGCAGUGUAUUUGUUGUGAUUUUCUCUUGUCCAUUCUCUUGUGUUAUUUCUUUUUACGAGUAUCACUGUGAAUGUGUAUCAUUAUGCGGCGUAAUU